AAUGAACGCUGGCGGCAUGCCUAACACAUGCAAGUCGAACGAGCCCUCCGGGUCUUUUGGCCUAUGGCUGUGUAACGCGUGGGAACCUUCCCUCGGGUAGGAACUACCUCUCAGAAUGGGUUGCCUUCACGGAACAUGAUCUCAGACCAAAGAAUUUAUUGACUUGGAUGGGUCCGUGUUGGAAUAGGUUGUUUGUAGGGCUAAAGGCUACCAACGCGACGAAUCAUAGCUGGGCUGAGAGGAUGAUCAGCCACACUGGGAAUGAGACACGGCCCAGACUCCUACGGGAGGCAGCAGUGGGGAAUAUUGGACAAUGGGCGAAAGCCUGAUCCAGCAAUGCCGCGUGAGUGAUGAAGGCCUUAGGGUUGUAAAGCGCUUUUACCCGGGAUGAUAAUGACAGUACCGGGAGAAUAAGCUCCGGCUAACUCCGUG
RNAcentral lists this ribosomal RNA (432 nucleotides) under uncultured bacterium. RNAcentral's name for it is "partial 16S ribosomal RNA". It matches the Rfam family "Bacterial small subunit ribosomal RNA", at positions 29 to 507 of the family's 1533-position model. The record is from RNAcentral.